ACCUGGGUGGCUCAGUCGGUUGAGUGUCUGACUUCAGCUCAGGUCAUGAUCUCACAGUUUGUGAGAUUGAGCCUCACAUCAGGCA
Molecule: transfer RNA, 85 nt
Filed under: Felis catus (domestic cat)
Lineage: Eukaryota; Metazoa; Chordata; Mammalia; Carnivora; Felidae
Rfam family: tRNA
About the family: Transfer RNA (tRNA) molecules are approximately 80 nucleotides in length. Their secondary structure includes four short double-helical elements and three loops (D, anti-codon, and T loops).
Source: Rfam by way of RNAcentral